GAAUCAGUAUAGAUUAUCUGGUCUAGUAUUGAACUACGGGGCCCAAAGGACGCAUUUACCUUUGACAGAUUUCUGUUCAGAUACAUAUGGUGACGACAAUAUACACUAUAGGGAUAUGUCUGUAGAAUGUAAAGAUUGGAAAUAUGUUUAUUCUAGAGUUUUCUGCAAAUAUGAAGGUGAUUGUGGGGAGAAUGCUGAAUGUAUCUCACAAGGGCCAAUAGGUAUCUGUUACUGCAAGCCAUACCAUAUCAGGAUCAAUGGUUAUUGCUACAGGGCUGAUGUUCCUGUUGGCGGUAAAUGUAUAGUUAAUAUUCAGUGUAGAGACACAACCUACUCCGGCGUUUGCAAGAAUCAUAUUUGUAGAUGUAGAGUGGGAUACGUUGCUCUAGGAAACAGUUGUUAUGCAGAAGCAAUAGUGGAUAAUAUGUGUUUUUCGUGGCAUAAUACGUGCAAAGACUUAACAAGAGAGUGUAGUAUUUUAAGCAAUCAAGACGUUGGGAUUUGUGUCUGCAAAUCAGAAUAUCUAGGAUUUUGAGAAUACUGUUUAGAAGGAAACCUUAAAAUCAAUCAGACCUGUGAGCGAAAUGAACAGUGUACUGCUGCACAAAACUUAGAAUGUCAAUAUGGAACAUGUAUGUGUCGAGAUGGGCACAUACUUGUUAAUGAGACUGAUUGUAAACCAGUGGAAAUAAAUAAAAAGGCGGUUGAAAAAAAGUUUUUAAAUCAAGAACAAGGUAAGUACUUUCACUUCAUUAAUAGUUAAGCAUCAUAAUUUGAAUAUUUUUAUGGUUUAUAC
Saccostrea cuccullata (small rock oyster) is the source of this 796-nucleotide RNA transcript. It is a transcript of the gene named prion-like-(Q/N-rich) domain-bearing protein 25, with no coding region annotated. The transcript is spliced from 6 exons. NCBI's taxonomy places the organism in Eukaryota, Metazoa, Mollusca, Bivalvia, Ostreida, Ostreidae. The record is from RefSeq and is a predicted model, not a curated record.